AUUGAACGCUGGCGGCAGGCUUAACACACGCAAGUCGAGCGGAGCGAGGGUGCUUGCACCUUAGCUUAGCGGCGGACGGGUGAGUAAUGCUUAGGAAUCUGCCUAUUAGUGGGGGACAACAUUCCGAAAGGAAUGCUAAUACCGCAUACGCCCUACGGGGGAAAGCAGGGGAUCUUCGGACCUUGCGCUAAUAGAUGAGCCUAAGUCGGAUUAGCUAGUUGGUGGGGUAAAGGCCUACCAAGGCGACGAUCUGUAGCGGGUCUGAGAGGAUGAUCCGCCACACUGGGACUGAGACACGGCCCAGACUCCUACGGGAGGCAGCAGUGGGGAAUAUUGGACAAUGGGCGGAAGCCUGAUCCAGCCAUGCCGCGUGUGUGAAGAAGGCCUUUUGGUUGUAAAGCACUUUAAGCGGGGAGGAAGGCGGUGAAGUUAAUAACUUCACCGAUUGACGUUACCCGCAGAAGAAGCACCGGCUAACUCCGUGCCAGCCGCCGCCGUAA
RNAcentral lists this ribosomal RNA (500 nucleotides) under uncultured bacterium. Its description in RNAcentral is "partial 16S ribosomal RNA". It matches the Rfam family "Bacterial small subunit ribosomal RNA", at positions 30 to 523 of the family's 1533-position model. The record is from RNAcentral.